AGAGUUUGAUCAUGGCUCAGAAUCAACGCUGGCGGCGUGCCUCAGACAUGCAAGUCGAACGAUUAAAGCUCCCUUCGGGGAGUGCAUAAAGUGGCGCACGGGUGAGUAACACGUAAGUAAUCUACCCUCGAGUGGGGAAUAACAACCGGAAACGGUUGCUAAUACCGCAUAAUGCAGCGGCACCGCAAGGUGACAGUUGUUAAAGAUUUAUUGCUUGAGGAGGAGCUUGCGGCAGAUUAGCUUGUUGGUAAGGUAACGGCUUACCAAGGCUACGAUCUGUAUCCGGUCUAAGAGGACGGUCGGACACACUGACACUGAAUAACGGGUCAGACUCCUACGGGAGGCAGCAGUCGGGAAUUUUGGGCAAUGGGGGAAACCCUGACCCAGCAACGCCGCGUGAAGGAUGAAGUAUUUCGGUAUGUAAACUUCGAAAGAAUAGGAAGAAUUAAUGACGGUACUAUUUAUAAGGUCCGGCUAACUACGUGCCAGCAGCCGCGGUAAUAC
RNAcentral lists this ribosomal RNA (504 nucleotides) under uncultured bacterium. RNAcentral describes it as "bacterial SSU rRNA". It matches the Rfam family "Bacterial small subunit ribosomal RNA", at positions 8 to 526 of the family's 1533-position model. The record is from RNAcentral.